GGAGAGGUGCGAGAGUGGCUUAAUCGGCACGACUGGAAAUCGUGUGUGCCUCACGGUACCGAGGGUUCGAAUCCCUCCCUCUCCGCCA
This 88-nucleotide transfer RNA is filed under the name bacterium CG_4_9_14_3_um_filter_65_15. Its description in RNAcentral is "tRNA-Ser". It matches the Rfam family "tRNA". From Rfam's summary of the family: Transfer RNA (tRNA) molecules are approximately 80 nucleotides in length. Their secondary structure includes four short double-helical elements and three loops (D, anti-codon, and T loops). The record is from RNAcentral.